AUUGAACGCUGGCGGCAGGCUUAACACAUGCAAGUCGAGCGGGGUGAGGUGCUUCGGUACUGAUCCUAGCGGCGGACGGGUGAGUAAUGCUUAGGAAUCUGCCAUUUAGUGGGGGACAACAUUCCGAAAGGGAUGCUAAUACCGCAUACGUCCUACGGGAGAAAGCAGGGGAUCUUCGGACCUUGCGCUAAAUGAUGAGCCUAAGUCGGAUUAGCUAGUUGGUGGGGUAAAGGCCUACCAAGGCGACGAU
Molecule: ribosomal RNA, 250 nt
Filed under: uncultured bacterium
Lineage: Bacteria
Description: partial 16S ribosomal RNA
Rfam family: Bacterial small subunit ribosomal RNA
Source: RNAcentral